UUCCAUUGACUGUAUAAAUCUGCCGGUCUCUCUCUUCGCUCCAGUAUGUAUUGCGUCAGUCACAUGAUGCUGGAACUACUGAGCCAGGGGCUGCUGUGUUGCUUCACUUUGCUCUGGUCCGUCUGAUAACAGGUGCAUUUAACUAAGUUUACCUCAGCCAAGGAGGCCAUGGCUGUAGGACGAGGCUGUAGCUAAUUCUCUUACUAUCAUUUUGUUGUGUUGGAUGUGAUAUCAGCUUCUGUUGAUUGUAACCAGGGUGAAUUGGGAGCAACAGAAACUGUGGCACCACAAAACAAGGCUGCUAUGUAAAUGUAGCAACGAAGGGAAUGACAAGGUGGUUUUUCAUAGAGCGCACUGACUACCCAUGGAGCUUUAGUAUUGCCCUGCCAUUGUGUGUGUAUGUGACUGGGAGUAGAGGGAUGUAUAGCAGUCCUAUAGAUCUGUACAGUCAGACUAACAGUCCUAUAGAUCUGUACAGUCAGACUAACAGUCCUAUAGAUCUGUACAGUCAGACUAACGGCCCUAUAGAGCUGUACAGUCGGACCAACGGCCCUAUAGAGCUGUACAGUCGGACCAACGGCCCUAUAGAGCUGUACAGUCGGACCAACGGCCCUAUAGAGCUGUACAGUCGGACCAACGGCCCUAUAGAGCUGUACAGUCGGACCAACGGCCCUAUAGAUCUGUACAGUCGGACCAACGGCCCUAUAGAGCUGUACAGUCGGACCAACGGCCCUAUAGAUCUGAGUCCUGUACAGUAGCAGCACAUAGCAUCACACAGCAAUAUAAUAUGGAAAUGUUUUACAGCAGCUUCACCAAGCAGACUACAGCUAUCCCUGUAUCCUCUGAUUCUUUAAUGAGCCAUCCAACAUGAUCAGGGGCUCUAUAUAUAGAACAGCGGCCUAUACCCUUGGCUGAAGAUGUUUCCAUAGAUGAUGGUCAUAUAUAAUGAGAAGAGGCCUGUUCUGUUGGAUAAGAUCUCUUUGGUAAUGCUGUUUAUAUAUGAUGUUAUAUAUGAUGUUUGAGGACUCAUUUACUACAGUAGAUUGUAUUGCGAGAGCGUCUUGACAUUUUAAUGUCCACCUCCCCUACUAUCGGUCUACUCCAACAGUUAGGACAAGUCUAAAUGACAUGGUUUUAUAUUCACAUGGUUGAUAAACACUCUGCAGUGCUGUACUGUGGAUAUCUCUUUCCAACUAUCCACACGUCUCCAGAGAUCUCAUCCAACAACAUGAUUGGACAGUCAGCCAGUAAUGGCCUAGCCACUAGCCUGGUCCCAGAGACUUUGUAUAGCCAACCUUCCUGUCGUUCAUUAUCACGCCAAACCACCGCUAGCAGAGCUGACGGGGGCUCAUAAUGAAGCAGACAGUACAUGGAAGGUUUGGAGGGGAGGCUGUGCUGUGGAGACUGGGGCUCAUAAUGAAGCAGACAGUACAUGGAAGGUUUGGAGGGGAGGUUGUGCUGUGGAGACUGGGGCUCAUAAUGAAGCAGACAGUACAUGGAAGGUUUGGAGGGGAGGCUGUGCUGUGGAGACUGGGGCUCAUAAUGAAGCAGACAGUACAUGGAAGGUUUGGAGGGGAGGUUGUGCUGUGGAGACUGGGGCUCAUAAUGAAGCAGACAGUACAUGGAAGGUUUGGAGGGGAGGCUGUGCUGUGGAGACUGGGGCUCAUAAUGAAGCAGACAGUACAUGGAAGGUUUGGAGGGGAGGUUGUGCUGUGGAGACGGGGGCUCAUAAUGAAGCAGACAGUACAUGGAAGGUUUGGAGGGGAGGCUGUGCUGUGCUGUGGAGACUGGGGCUCAUAAUGAAGCAGACAGUACAUGGAAGGUUUGGAGGGGAGGUUGUGCUGUGGAGACUGGCGGCUCAGUGGGCUAAUGCCAGACGAGGGCUCCAGAAGGCCAGGGACAGCCUGGCCAGGCUCAGAGCUGCCUGGAUGGGCCUAGUUCCAUGAUCACAUGGCUGGGAGUCUGGCAGGGACACAGCCCUGGGUGAUGCUCAGAAUAUUGAUAACUUCAGCAGUGAGGAGGGCAUGGACCAUGUAUGUACAUCUCCCCACUGGAGCAGGGAGGGAAGGCUGCCAGCCAAACUCUACCGACAGUACCCCUCUCCUCCUCCCUCUCCGCUACCCCCCUCCAUCUCUACCCUGCUCACAAAGCCCAGGGCCUACAGUUCUAUUGGCCUGGGAGGGGGAGUUGGAGGGAGGUGAGAGGGGCUCUCCUCCUCCCUCUCCGCUACCCCCCUCCAUCCCCACCCUGCUCACAAAGCCCAGGGCCUACAGUUCUAUUGGCCUGGGAGGGGGAGUUGGAGGGAGGUGAGAGGGGCUCUCCUCCUCCCUCUCCGCUACCCCCCUCCAUCUCCACCCUGCUCACAAAGCCCAGGACCUACAGUUCUAUUGGCCUGGGAGGGGUAGUUGGAGGGAGGGGAGAGGGGCUCUCCUCCUCCAGUCUCUCCAUGCUGGGAACUUUUAUCAGUGCACACAAAAAGGGCCUCUGAGGCAGACAGGGAGGCUGAGGUGGGGGUUGUUUUGGGGGGUUAGCCACAAGCUAUUGUGGAUACUGUAUUGUUUCAAUAGGAAUGUGUGGUUGCAUUCAGUAUUCCCACACUAGCCUACAGUACUGCCAAGGAUAUUACCAGAAGUGAAAUGAGAUGAAUGAAAAUGAUUUGGACAUGGGAUAAUUGAAGGAAACAUGUUUAAUUGGAGAGUUAUGUGAAAUAUUUGGUGAUGGUGUUCUAGGUUCUAUGUUUGGGAUCAUGGUUGUUUUUUGUCAACUGUUUUUAUCAGCCGUUAUGGGCAUAACAAUGUUUUAUCAGCCGUUAUGGGAAUAACAAUGUGUUUAUCAGCCGUUAUGGGAAUAACAAUGUGUUUAUCAGCCGUUAUGGGAAUAACAAUGUGUUUAUCAGCCGUUAUGGGAAUAACAAUGUGUUUAUCAGCCGUUAUGGGAAUAACAAUGUUUUAUCAGCCGUUAUGGGAAUAACAAUGUGUUUAUCAGCCGUUAUGGGAAUAACAAUGUGUUUAUCAGCCGUUAUGGGAAUAACAAUGUGUUUAUCAGCCGUUAUGGGAAUAACAAUGUUUUAUCAGCCGUUAUGGGAAUAACAAUGUUUUAUCAGCCGUUAUGGGAAU
Long non-coding RNA from Oncorhynchus keta (chum salmon), 3116 nucleotides. RefSeq lists it as uncharacterized. The record is from RefSeq and is a predicted model, not a curated record. The transcript has 3 exons. NCBI's taxonomy places the organism in Eukaryota, Metazoa, Chordata, Actinopteri, Salmoniformes, Salmonidae.